AUUGAACGCUGGCGGCAGGCUUAACACAUGCAAGUCGAGCGGAUGAAAGUAGCUUGCUACUGGAUUCAGCGGCGGACGGGUGAGUAAUGCUUAGGAAUCUGCCUAUUAGUGGGGGACAACGUUCCGAAAGGAGCGCUAAUACCGCAUACGUCCUACGGGAGAAAGCAGGGGACCUUCGGGCCUUGCGCUAAUAGAUGAGCCUAAGUCGGAUUAGCUAGUUGGUAGGGUAAAGGCCUACCAAGGCGACGAUCUGUAGCGGGUCUGAGAGGAUGAUCCGCCACACUGGGACUGAGACACGGCCCAGACUCCUACGGGAGGCAGCAGUGGGGAAUAUUGGACAAUGGGGGGAACCCUGAUCCAGCCAUGCCGCGUGUGUGAAGAAGGCCUUUUGGUUGUAAAGCACUUUAAGCGAGGAGGAGGCUACCUAGAUUAAUACUUUAGGAUAGUGGACGUUACUCGCAGAAUAAGCACCGGCUAACUCUGUGCCAGCAGCCGCGGUAAUACAGAGGGUGCGAGCGUUAAUCGGAUUUACUGGGCGUAAAGCGUGCGUAGGCGGCCAAUUAAGUCAAAUGUGAAAUCCCCGAGCUUAACUUGGGAAUUGCAUUCGAUACUGGUUGGCUAGAGUAUGGGAGAGGAUGGUAGAAUUCCAGGUGUAGCGGUGAAAUGCGUAGAGAUCUGGAGGAAUACCGAUGGCGAAGGCAGCCAUCUGGCCUAAUACUGACGCUGAGGUACGAAAGCAUG
Molecule: ribosomal RNA, 741 nt
Filed under: Acinetobacter radioresistens WC-A-157
Lineage: Bacteria; Pseudomonadati; Pseudomonadota; Gammaproteobacteria; Moraxellales; Moraxellaceae
Description: bacterial SSU rRNA
Rfam family: Bacterial small subunit ribosomal RNA
Source: RNAcentral